GGGGCGGUAGCUCAGUUGGUAGAGCACCAGCUUUGCACGUUGGGGGUCAGGGGUUCGAAUCCCCUCCGCUCCACCA
This 76-nucleotide transfer RNA is filed under the name Thermaerobacter sp. RNAcentral's name for it is "tRNA-Ala". It matches the Rfam family "tRNA". Rfam says of the family: Transfer RNA (tRNA) molecules are approximately 80 nucleotides in length. Their secondary structure includes four short double-helical elements and three loops (D, anti-codon, and T loops). Further hydrogen bonds mediate the characteristic L-shaped molecular structure. tRNAs have two regions of fundamental functional importance: the anti-codon, which is responsible for specific mRNA codon recognition, and the 3' end, to which the tRNAs corresponding amino acid is attached (by aminoacyl-tRNA synthetases). tRNAs cope with the degeneracy of the genetic code in two manners: having more than one tRNA (with a specific anti-codon) for a particular amino acid; and 'wobble' base-pairing, i.e. permitting non-standard base-pairing at the 3rd anti-codon position. The record is from RNAcentral. Lineage: Bacteria; Bacillati; Bacillota; Clostridia; Eubacteriales; Clostridiales Family XVII. Incertae Sedis.